Molecule: non-coding RNA, 203 nt
Filed under: Vibrio nigripulchritudo
Lineage: Bacteria; Pseudomonadati; Pseudomonadota; Gammaproteobacteria; Vibrionales; Vibrionaceae
Description: GcvB RNA
Rfam family: GcvB RNA
About the family: The gcvB gene encodes a small untranslated RNA involved in expression of the dipeptide and oligopeptide transport systems in Escherichia coli. Included several unknown homologues in alignment (Bateman A pers obs).
Source: Rfam by way of RNAcentral
CAACGCUGAGCCUGAACGGCUUGAUUAUCUUUGAUAAUCAAUUGGUUUAGUUGUUGCGAUGUUGUGUUUGCAUAAACUCGAAUUUCGAGUUGGUAGAGUUAUCUACCAGUGUCUCGGCGCUCAGCGCUAGGACCAUACUUCCUGUAUUAUUUUGACCUGUCUGUCAAAUUUUCACACCGCCUACUUAGGCGGUGUUUUUUUAU